RNAcentral lists this ribosomal RNA (253 nucleotides) under uncultured bacterium. Its description in RNAcentral is "partial 16S ribosomal RNA". It matches the Rfam family "Bacterial small subunit ribosomal RNA", at positions 524 to 776 of the family's 1533-position model. The record is from RNAcentral.
UACGUAGGGUGCGAGCGUUGUCCGGAAUUAUUGGGCGUAAAGAGCUUGUAGGCGGUCUGUCGCGUCUGCUGUGAAAACCCGCGGCUCAACUGCGGGCCUACAGCCGAUACGGGCAGGCUAGAGUUCGGUAGGGGAGACUGGAAUUCCUGGUGUAGCGGUGAAAUGCGCAGAUAUCAGGAGGAACACCGGUGGCGAAGGCGGGUCUCUGGGCCGAUACUGACGCUGAGGAGCGAAAGCGUGGGGAGCGAACAGG